This is a long non-coding RNA of Tribolium madens (black flour beetle), 390 nucleotides long. RefSeq lists it as uncharacterized. The transcript is spliced from 3 exons. Lineage: Eukaryota; Metazoa; Arthropoda; Insecta; Coleoptera; Tenebrionidae. The record is from RefSeq and is a predicted model, not a curated record.
AGGAAAAUAGUGACUGGUUUUGUUAUAUUUUUAAAUGUCUAUUUUUGGUGGGGGAUGAUAAAUUUGGUAAUAAAAUGAUAAAAUAUGCAAAACUAGUUUAAUUUUAAGCCUCAUUUCCAUAAUUUGCAUUGCAAAUAUUUCAAAUCAACCUUAAAUAAGUUUCAGUUGAAAUAAACAAACCACUCAAUAAAAAUGCCCACUUUUUUCUUCUACUUUUUAUUAUCUUACUUCGUAAUGUUCAUUUUUUCAAGUCCUAUUAAACGCCAAAUACGAGAUGCCAAUCCAUAUUUAUUUUGUAUUGAACCACCAUGUAAAGAAAAUUUUGCCCAUUUUUAGCCUUAAUAAACGAUAUUUCAAAUUGUAAAUGAGUCUCAAUUCAAAAUUAAGUUG